Molecule: long non-coding RNA, 391 nt
Organism: Hyla sarda
Lineage: Eukaryota; Metazoa; Chordata; Amphibia; Anura; Hylidae
Exons: 3
Source: RefSeq, a predicted model, not a curated record
CACCUCUCCACUACCUAUCAUGCAUCUGAUGAAAGGUCACAUGACCUGAAAAACGUCAUGCCGAGCGUUUCCAGAGUUUUAUUUCACUACGGAGACCAUGUAGACGUCUUAAUUUGGAUGAAAUAAAGCAGGGAUUUAUGUACAAAGGAACGAAAGGAAGACGGAUCCAGCUCUUUGUAGAUAAAAUCAACUUUAAUCCAUAGGACAAGGAAGGGUCUUCACUUCUCCCUUUGUGGCGGAAGAGGAGAGCAGAAAAGGAGAUGGUAGAGGAGGAGGAGGAAGAUGAUGGAGAGCAGCCAGGACCCUCCAAUCAGGAACCUGCUCAAGCCACACCACCUAAUGUGGUGGAAACUGUGGGGGUGGAGGCACAAGAGGAGCCACAUCCCCCCCC